This 1008-nucleotide ribosomal RNA is filed under the name Leptographium alacre. RNAcentral's name for it is "SSU rRNA". It matches the Rfam family "Eukaryotic small subunit ribosomal RNA", at positions 90 to 1107 of the family's 1831-position model. The record is from RNAcentral. Lineage: Eukaryota; Fungi; Ascomycota; Sordariomycetes; Ophiostomatales; Ophiostomataceae.
CGAAUGGCUCAUUAAAUCAGUUAUCGUCUAUUUGAUAGUACCUUACUACUUGGAUAACCGUGGUAAUUCUAGAGCUAAUACAUGCUGAAAACCCCGACUUCGGAAGGGAUGUAUUUAUUAGAUUAAAAACCAAUGCCCUCCGGGGCUCACUGGUGAUUCAUAAUAACUGCUCGAAUCGCACGGCCUUGCGCCGGCGAUGGUUCAUUCAAAUCUCUGCCCUAUCAACUUUCGACGGCUGGGUCUUGGCCAGCCAUGGUGACAACGGGUAACGGAGGGUUAGGGCUCGACCCCGGAGAAGGAGCCUGAGAAACGGCUACUACAUCCAAGGAAGGCAGCAGGCGCGCAAAUUACCCAAUCCCGACUCGGGGAGGUAGUGACAAUAAAUACUGAUACAGGGCUCUUUUGGGUCUUGUAAUUGGAAUGAGUACAAUUUAAUUCCCUUAACGAGGAACAAUUGGAGGGCAAGUCUGGUGCCAGCAGCCGCGGUAAUUCCAGCUCCAAUAGCGUAUAUUAAAGUUGUUGCAGUUAAAAAGCUCGUAGUUGAACCUUGGGCCUGGCUGGCCGGUCCGCCUCACCGCGUGCACUGGUCCGGCCGGGCCUUUCCCUCUGGGGAGCCGCAUGCCCUUCGCUGGGCGUGUCGGGGAACCAGGACUUUUACUUUGAAAAAAUUAGAGUGUUCAAAGCAGGCUUAUGCUCGGAUACAUUAGCAUGGAAUAAUAGAAUAGGACGUGCGGUUCUAUUUUGUUGGUUUCUAGGACCGCCGUAAUGAUUAAUAGGGACAGUCGGGGGCAUCAGUAUUCAGUUGUCAGAGGUGAAAUUCUUGGAUCUACUGAAGACUAACUACUGCGAAAGCAUUUGCCAAGGAUGUUUUCAUUAAUCAGGAACGAAAGUUAGGGGAUCGAAGACGAUCAGAUACCGUCGUAGUCUUAACCAUAAACUAUGCCGACUAGGGAUCGGACGGUGUUAUUUUUUGACCCGUUCGGCACCUUACACGAAAGUACAAGUUUC